RNAcentral lists this transfer RNA (66 nucleotides) under Trapezia serenei. RNAcentral describes it as "tRNA-Ser". Lineage: Eukaryota; Metazoa; Arthropoda; Malacostraca; Decapoda; Trapeziidae. The record is from RNAcentral.
GGUUAUUUAGUUUAUAUAAAACAAAUGUUUUGAAAACAUUAAAAAAGUAAAAGUACUUAUUAAUCG